UUCUCUGAUUAGAAAAUUUACCAAUGGAUCCUUCUGAGCCUUCACUGCUUAUUUGUAUUCACAAUUCAGUUUUCUCGGGAAAAUU
Molecule: small RNA, 85 nt
Filed under: Arabidopsis thaliana (thale cress)
Lineage: Eukaryota; Viridiplantae; Streptophyta; Magnoliopsida; Brassicales; Brassicaceae
Description: ATSL191890
Source: RNAcentral